GAUGAACGCUGGCGGCGUGCCUAAUACAUGCAAGUCGAGCGAACGGACGAGAAGCUUGCUUCUCUGAUGUUAGCGGCGGACGGGUGAGUAACACGUGGAUAACCUACCUAUAAGACUGGGAUAACUUCGGGAAACCGGAGCUAAUACCGGAUAAUAUUUUGAACCGCAUGGUUCAAAAGUGAAAGACGGUCUUGCUGUCACUUAUAGAUGGAUCCGCGCUGCAUUAGCUAGUUGGUAAGGUAACGGCUUACCAAGGCAACGAUGCAUAGCCGACCUGAGAGGGUGAUCGGCCACACUGGAACUGAGACACGGUCCAGACUCCUACGGGAGGCAGCAGUAGGGAAUCUUCCGCAAUGGGCGAAAGCCUGACGGAGCAACGCCGCGUGAGUGAUGAAGGUCUUCGGAUCGUAAAACUCUGUUAUUAGGGAAGAACAUAUGUGUAAGUAACUGUGCACAUCUUGACGGUACCUAAUCAGAAAGCCACGGCGACUACGUG
This 496-nucleotide ribosomal RNA is filed under the name uncultured bacterium. Its description in RNAcentral is "partial 16S ribosomal RNA". It matches the Rfam family "Bacterial small subunit ribosomal RNA", at positions 28 to 507 of the family's 1533-position model. The record is from RNAcentral.